UCAAAUAGGUGAGUUAUCUCUCUCUACUUGAUUAAGUAUACAUGCAUGAAAUUAAGUUGAAAUUGAUGAAUUUAAGUAAAGAAACAUGAAAAAUCAUGCAUGUAUGGAACCCUAUGAAAUUCGGCCAGCUUGUGAGAGUGAAGGAUUUGAUGAGUUAAAUUGAAUUAAACAUGUUUUGUGAUGUUUUAUGAGGUGUUAGGUAUAAUUAGUGAAGUGAAUUUGAUAUGAAUUAGACAAUUACAAAAUUAGGGUUCUCGGUGAUUAGG
Molecule: unclassified non-coding RNA, 266 nt
Filed under: Hevea brasiliensis (rubber tree)
Lineage: Eukaryota; Viridiplantae; Streptophyta; Magnoliopsida; Malpighiales; Euphorbiaceae
Source: RNAcentral